This 400-nucleotide ribosomal RNA is filed under the name uncultured beta proteobacterium. RNAcentral describes it as "bacterial SSU rRNA". It matches the Rfam family "Bacterial small subunit ribosomal RNA", at positions 1041 to 1446 of the family's 1533-position model. The record is from RNAcentral. Lineage: Bacteria; Pseudomonadati; Pseudomonadota; Betaproteobacteria.
CUGCAUGGCUGUCGUCAGCUCGUGUCGUUAGAUGUUGGGUUAAGUCCCGCAACGAGCGCAACCCUUGUCAUUAGUUGGUACGAAAGGGCACUCUAAUGAGACUGCCGGUGACAAACCGGAGGAAGGUGGGGAUGACGUCAAGUCCUCAUGGCCCUUAUGGGUAGGGCUUCACACGUCAUACAAUGGUCGGGACAGAGGGAUGCCAACCCGCGAGGGGGAGCCAAUCUCAGAAACCCGAUCGUAGUCCGGAUUGGAGUCUGCAACUCGACUCCAUGAAGUCGGAAUCGCUAGUAAUCGCGGAUCAGCAUGUCGCGGUGAAUACGUUCCCGGGUCUUGUACACACCGCCCGUCACACCAUGGGAGUGGGUUUUACCAGAAGUAGUUAGCCUAACCCGCAAGG